AAAGAAACUAACAAGGAUUUCCUUAGUAACGGCGAGUGAAAAGGAAAAAGCCCAACGCUGAAUCCAAUAGACUAAUUGUACUAUAUGGAAAUGUAGCGUAUAGGUAUAACUAUCCGUAACAUAUUUUUACACCCAAAGUCCCCCUUGAGCGAGGCUAUAAUCCAUAGAAGGUGCUAGACCUGUACGGGUGAAAAAAGUUACGGUAUGUUAUACUUUGGAGUCGGGUUGUUUGAGAUUGCAGCCCAAAGAGGGUGGUAAACCUCAUCUAAGGCUAAAUACGACCAUGAGACCGAUAGCAAACAAGUACCGUGAGGGAAAGUUGCAAAGAACUUUGAAGAGAGAGUUCAAGAGGGCGUGAAACCGCUGAGAUGGAAACGGAUAGAGUUAACGAAACUUAUCGGUAUUCAACCAAUCAAUUUAGCAUGUCUUUAUAAAAUUAUUAUUCAUGAAUAAUGAAUAAAAUUUUAUUAAAGAUUUAAAAUGCUAGAUUUUAUAACUAAAUAGAUUGGUGUAUUUACCGAUAGUAUGCAUCGAGAACUUCGUUUUAAAAGCAUAUUAGAGCAAUUUUUUAGUGGACCAAUUAUUUUUAUUAAUAAUUGGAAUCCUAAAAAUAUGUCUCGUAAUAUGUCUUAAAUGAAGUUAUUUUUCCCAAAUAUGUAACUAUCACUUGAAAUAUUAGUGACAUGCAUCGAUUAUAAUUUUUAUCAAAUAUAUUUUAUGUGUAGUCGCAUGCGACUUUAAUUGUAAAUAUAUUGAUAAAAUUAUAAUAUUGUAUGCUA
Molecule: ribosomal RNA, 779 nt
Filed under: Splendidofilaria mavis
Lineage: Eukaryota; Metazoa; Nematoda; Chromadorea; Rhabditida; Onchocercidae
Description: partial large subunit ribosomal RNA
Rfam family: Eukaryotic large subunit ribosomal RNA
Source: RNAcentral